GGAAGGAUCAUUACUGAGCCAAAGAUUUUUAAGCCUCACAUGUGCCUACCGCCCAUAGGCACUAAUGUGAGCCGGGUUGCGAGGCUGUUCGGUCAGCGCUUCUGCCUGAUUAUGUGCAGUUCUCGGAUCCGUUAAACUUUAAUAACGGCUAACGUUGGCGUCUAUGUCCUCUUCAGCUACUGCCCGACCGUCAGUAGUGAUAAAGAGAGGAUGGCAGCUCCUUUCGUAAUGUCAUUACGACAGAGCGGAAGUUGAGCAGACUUAAUGAGCGACAGCUAGUGCGCUGCCAACAGAAAUCACUUCGUUUAUUUGAUUUAAGAGUACGCUUUUUGGCGGAAAAUGUUUUUCUUGGUGGUGGAUCACUCGGCUCGUGGAUCGAUGAAGAACGCAGCUAGCUGCGAGAAAUAGUGCGAAUUGCAAACACAUUGAGCACCAAGAUUUCGAACGCACAUUGCGCCAUUGGGUUCGUUCCCAUUGGCACGUCUGGCUGAGAGUCGUUGAAUUUAAAGUUGCUCAACGUCAUGCCGGUGGAUGUCGGUAGUCGUUGUUGUCGGCAGGCUAUAGUGUACCCUGCUCAGUGGAAAAGAUUGCCUCAUAGUCGAUGAUGUCUUUAAAGCGCUGUAUUAUUCGCUGAUAUGUAUGAAAUAUGUAUGAAAAGUACGAAGGUGCAAAUAGCGUCGAAAUAGCGCUUUUAGCUGUUAUGGAUGAAAGAAUUGACCUCAGCUCAGUCGUGAUU
RNAcentral lists this ribosomal RNA (736 nucleotides) under Spiroxys japonica. Its description in RNAcentral is "eukaryotic LSU rRNA". The stretch from base 344 to 497 matches the Rfam family "5.8S ribosomal RNA". Lineage: Eukaryota; Metazoa; Nematoda; Chromadorea; Rhabditida; Gnathostomatidae. The record is from RNAcentral.